RNAcentral lists this long non-coding RNA (436 nucleotides) under Fukomys damarensis (Damara mole-rat). Its description in RNAcentral is "lncRNA (ENSFDAG00000030852.1)". The record is from RNAcentral. Lineage: Eukaryota; Metazoa; Chordata; Mammalia; Rodentia; Bathyergidae.
GGCUCCACCUGGAAAGGCUCCACCUUCCCCCGGUAGUGUCACCCAUGGGGACGGAGCUUUCAAAGCGUGGGCCUUUGGUGGUUACUCUAGACACAGGCAAUAGCUGUCCUGAAGCGAGACGGAGAGGUCCACAUCGUCUGAAAUGCACUUCUCUCGCUGCGUGUGGGGCUGCAGGAGAUGCAGGGAGCAGGCGACGACGUCCUCACCCUUCACGGCCCGAGCCCGUCUCUCCCUGCUCCAGGACAUCGAGGCAGCCAGACACUGAAAUCAAAGACCCUCAGGAAAGAGGACUUCAGAGCUGCUGCAGAGAGCGGCAAGAACCAUGGGCCGAGUGUGUUGGGAGUGGCAGGGAGGUUGGAAGAGAGGGAGAUCAGAUUUAGAGAGCGAUUCAUGGCACUGUCUUUUGCAGUAAUAAAAAUUUUAAGUUAAACACCCA